CCUACGGGAGGCAGCAGUGAGGAAUAUUGGUCAAUGGGCUUACGCCUGAACCAGCCAAGUCGCGUGAGGGAAGAAUGCCCUAUGGGUUGUAAACCUCUUUUGUCAGGGAGCAACGCCGGCUACGUGUAGCCGGACGGAGAGUACAUGAAGAAAAAGCAUCGGCUAACUCCGUGCCAGCAGCCGCGGUAAUACGGAGGAUGCGAGCGUUAUCCGGAUUUAUUGGGUUUAAAGGGUGCGUAGGCGGGAUGCCAAGUCAGCGGUAAAAUCGCGGGGCUCAACCUCGCUCAGCCGUUGAAACUGGCGUGCUUGAGUGGGCGAGAAGUAUGCGGAAUGCGUGGUGUAGCGGUGAAAUGCAUAGAUAUCACGCAGAACUCCGAUUGCGAAGGCAGCAUACCGGCGCCCAACUGACGCUGAAGCACGAAAGCGUGGGUAUCGAACAGGAUUAGAUACCCCAGUAGUC
Molecule: ribosomal RNA, 460 nt
Filed under: uncultured bacterium
Lineage: Bacteria
Description: partial 16S ribosomal RNA
Rfam family: Bacterial small subunit ribosomal RNA
Source: RNAcentral